RNAcentral lists this ribosomal RNA (800 nucleotides) under uncultured bacterium. RNAcentral's name for it is "bacterial SSU rRNA". It matches the Rfam family "Bacterial small subunit ribosomal RNA", at positions 8 to 804 of the family's 1533-position model. The record is from RNAcentral.
AGAGUUUGAUCCUGGCUCAGAAUGAACGCUGGCGGCGUGCCUAACACAUGCAAGUCGAAUGUGCCGCAAGGUGCAUGGCAGACGGGUGAGUAACGCGUGGGCAAUCUACCUUCUCGUGGGGAAUAACGCUCCGAAAGGAGUGGUAAUACCGCAUGAGACCCAUGGCUGGGAUGCUGUGGGUGAAACCUGGGGACCUUCGGGCCUGGGGCGAGAAGAGGAGCCUGCGUCUGAUUAGCUAGUUGGUGGGGUAACGGCCUACCAAGGCGACGAUCAGUAGCCGGCCUGAGAGGGUGAUCGGCCACACUGGAACUGAGACACGGUCCAGACUCCUACGGGAGGCAGCAGUGGGGAAUUUUGCGCAAUGGGCGAAAGCCUGACGCAGCAACGCCGCGUGGGUGAUGAAGGUCUUCGGAUCGUAAAACCCUGUCGUUGGGGACGAAGGUGGGGGCGUGAACAGCGCUUCUGCUUGACGGUACCCGGAGAGGAAGCCCCGGCUAACUCUGUGCCAGCAGCCGCGGUAAUACAGAGGGGGCAAGCGUUAUUCGGAAUUAUUGGGCGUAAGGGCGCGUAGGCGGUUUUUUAAGUCAGAUGUGUAAUCCCCGAGCUCAACUUGGGAACUGCAUCUGAGACUGGAAGGCUAGAGUGCUGGAGAGGGUGGUGGAAUUCCUCGUGUAGCGGUGAAAUGCGUAGAGAUGAGGAGGAACACCAGUGCGAAGGCGGCCACCUGGACAGCAACUGACGCUGAGGCGCGAAAGUGUGGGUAGCAAACAGGAUUAGAUACCCUGGUAGUCCACACUGUA